Molecule: small RNA, 289 nt
Filed under: Nannospalax galili (Upper Galilee mountains blind mole rat)
Lineage: Eukaryota; Metazoa; Chordata; Mammalia; Rodentia; Spalacidae
Description: 7SK RNA (ENSNGAG00000002641.1)
Rfam family: 7SK RNA
About the family: 7SK was discovered as an abundant small nuclear RNA in the mid-70s but a possible function has only recently been suggested. Two independent studies have found that 7SK RNA binds the CDK9/cyclin T complex (known as elongation factor P-TEFb). P-TEFb activates transcription by phosphorylating the C-terminal domain of RNA polymerase II.
Source: Rfam by way of RNAcentral
GGAUGUGAGGGCGGUCUGGCUGGCUGCACAGGUGUUCCGUCCUCCCUCACUGCUCUAUGUGCAUCCUUCCCAAUGCUGGGAGCUCAGUGGAAGAUAGAAGAGGAUCAGUCUUCUGUUAAGGGUACUCAACUAGCUGUGCUCCCCUGCCAGAACCUCCAAACAACUUCUCAAGGAACAAACUGAUAUAAUUUCACCUCACCUGCUUUAGCAGGGUUCUGUUGGUUCCCAGUUUAUGCUGUUCAAUACUUCUUCUCACAAAGACCCUUUCCAUAGGAGACAGGUUUUCCUU